Molecule: ribosomal RNA, 467 nt
Filed under: uncultured organism
Description: partial 16S ribosomal RNA
Rfam family: Bacterial small subunit ribosomal RNA
Source: RNAcentral
ACUCCCGGGAGGCAGCAGUGGGGAAUUUUGGACAAUGGGCGAAAGCCUGAUCCAGCAAUGCCGCGUGAGUGAAGAAGGCCUUCGGGUUGUAAAGCUCUUUUGUCAGGGAAGAAACGGUGAAAGCUAAUAUCUUUUGCUAAUGACGGUACCUGAAGAAUAAGCACCGGCUAACUACGUGCCAGCAGCCGCGGUAAUACGUAGGGUGCAAGCGUUAAUCGGAAUUACUGGGCGUAAAGCGUGCGCAGGCGGUUUUGUAAGUCUGAUGUGAAAUCCCCGGGCUCAACCUGGGAAUUGCAUUGGAGACUGCAAGGCUAGAAUCUGGCAGAGGGGGGUAGAAUUCCACGUGUAGCAGUGAAAUGCGUAGAUAUGUGGAGGAACACCGAUGGCGAAGGCAGCCCCCUGGGUCAAGAUUGACGCUCAUGCACGAAAGCGUGGGGAGCAAACAGGAUUAGAAACCCUAGUAGUCC